Long non-coding RNA from Drosophila navojoa, 315 nucleotides. The record is from RefSeq and is a predicted model, not a curated record. NCBI's taxonomy places the organism in Eukaryota, Metazoa, Arthropoda, Insecta, Diptera, Drosophilidae.
AAUGUUUAUAUUUGAUCAGCUGGCACAGACUGGCGCAUAUGUAUUAUAGCGAUGCUGAGGCCGCUCUGAUUGUUUAUAAUGUUCAGGAUCGGUAUAGUUAUAUUUGCAGCAAAAUGUGGAUUGAGGAAUUACGCGAAAAGUUGGCCCCGACUGUUGUCAUAGCCAUAGCCGCUAAUAAAAUAGAUUUGUGGGAUAAUUUGUGCGUGGAUUCUACCGAGAUGAGCAAAUAUGCUCGAGAUAAUGGCUAUAUAUUCAUGGAGACAUCGGCUAAAACAGGUGCAAAUAUUCAUGAGAUUUUUUAUGCUAUGGGUAAGU